Molecule: ribosomal RNA, 115 nt
Filed under: Nanobdellota archaeon
Lineage: Archaea; Nanobdellati; Nanobdellota
Source: RNAcentral
GAACACGGUCACAGUAGCCAGGACACACCUGUUCCCUUUCCGAACACAGAAGUUAAGCUGGUUACGUCUGUUGCGUUAGUCUCCGACAAGAGGCGAAACUCAGAUGCUGUGUUCG